CUUCUAGUGACGAAAAAGCCAUUCA
RNAcentral lists this non-coding RNA (25 nucleotides) under Cricetulus griseus (Chinese hamster). Lineage: Eukaryota; Metazoa; Chordata; Mammalia; Rodentia; Cricetidae. The record is from RNAcentral.